RNAcentral lists this ribosomal RNA (409 nucleotides) under bacterium. RNAcentral describes it as "partial 16S ribosomal RNA". It matches the Rfam family "Bacterial small subunit ribosomal RNA", at positions 355 to 776 of the family's 1533-position model. The record is from RNAcentral.
UGGGGAAUAUUGCACAAUGGGCGAAAGCCUGAUGCAGCGACGCCGCGUGAGGGAUGACGGCCUUCGGGUUGUAAACCUCUUUCAGCAGGGACGAAGCGCAAGUGACGGUACCUGCAGAAGAAGCACCGGCUAACUACGUGCCAGCAGCCGCGGUAAUACGUAGGGUGCAAGCGUUGUCCGGAAUUACUGGGCGUAAAGAGUUCGUAGGCGGUUUGUCGCGUCGUUUGUGAAAACCAGCAGCUCAACUGCUGGCUUGCAGGCGAUACGGGCAGACUUGAGUAAUGAAGGGGAGACUGGAAUGCAUGGUGUAGCGGUGAAAUGCGCAGAUAUCAGGAGGAACACCGGUGGCGAAGGCGGGUCUCUGGGCAGUAACUGACGCUGAGGAACGAAAGCGUGGGUAGCGAACAGG